UGAGUCAGGAAUGACAGGCAGGUAGCCAUGU
RNAcentral lists this non-coding RNA (31 nucleotides) under Homo sapiens (human). The record is from RNAcentral. Lineage: Eukaryota; Metazoa; Chordata; Mammalia; Primates; Hominidae.